Molecule: ribosomal RNA, 459 nt
Filed under: uncultured bacterium
Lineage: Bacteria
Description: partial 16S ribosomal RNA
Rfam family: Bacterial small subunit ribosomal RNA
Source: RNAcentral
CCUACGGGAGGCAGCAGUGAGGAAUAUUGGUCAAUGGUCGGGAGACUGAACCAGCCAAGCCGCGUGAGGGAGGAAGGUACAGAGUAUCGUAAACCUCUUUUGUCAGGGAACAAAGACUUCGACGCGUCCCCGGAUGAGUGUACCUGAAGAAAAAGCAUCGGCUAACUCCGUGCCAGCAGCCGCGGUAAUACGGAGGAUGCGAGCGUUAUCCGGAUUUAUUGGGUUUAAAGGGUGCGUAGGCGGACUGUAAAGUCAGCGGUCAAAGCCCGGGGCUCAACGCCGGGCCGCCGUUGAAACUGGCAGUCUCGAGUUGGCGAGAAGUAUGCGGAAUGCGCGGUGUAGCGGUGAAAUGCAUAGAUAUCGCGCAGAACUCCGAUUGCGAAGGCAGCAUGCCGGCUCCACACUGACGCUGAGGCACGAAAGCGUGGGUAUCGAACAGGAUUAGAUACCCCUAUAGUC